CCUACGGGGGGCUGCAGUGGGGAAUAUUGGACAAUGGGCGAAAGCCUGAUCCAGCAAUACCGAGUGAGUGAUGAAGGCCCUAGGGUUGUAAAGCUCUUUUAGCAAGGAAGAUAAUGACGUUACUUGCAGAAAAAGCCCCGGCUAACUCCGUGCCAGCAGCCGCGGUAAGACGGAGGGGGCUAGCGUUGUUCGGAAUUACUGGGCGUAAAGAGUGCGUAGGCGGUUUAGUAAGUUGGAAGUGAAAGCCCGGGGCUUAACCUCGGAAUUGCUUUCAA
This 275-nucleotide ribosomal RNA is filed under the name uncultured Rickettsia sp. RNAcentral describes it as "partial 16S ribosomal RNA". It matches the Rfam family "Bacterial small subunit ribosomal RNA", at positions 338 to 630 of the family's 1533-position model. The record is from RNAcentral. Lineage: Bacteria; Pseudomonadati; Pseudomonadota; Alphaproteobacteria; Rickettsiales; Rickettsiaceae.